RNAcentral lists this ribosomal RNA (253 nucleotides) under uncultured bacterium. RNAcentral describes it as "partial 16S ribosomal RNA". It matches the Rfam family "Bacterial small subunit ribosomal RNA", at positions 524 to 776 of the family's 1533-position model. The record is from RNAcentral.
UACGUAGGGUGCGAGCGUUGUCCGGAAUUAUUGGGCGUAAAGAGCUCGUAGGCGGUCUGUUGCGUCGGGAGUGAAAACUUACAGCUUAACUGUGAGCGUGCUUCCGAUACGGGCAGACUUGAGGUAUUCAGGGGAGAACGGAAUUCCUGGUGUAGCGAUGAAAUGCGCAGAUAUCAGGAGGAACACCGGUGGCGAAGGCGGUUCUCUGGGAAUAUCCUGACGCUGAGGAGCGAAAGUGUGGGGAGCGAACAGG